Molecule: small RNA, 2687 nt
Filed under: Rattus norvegicus (Norway rat)
Lineage: Eukaryota; Metazoa; Chordata; Mammalia; Rodentia; Muridae
Description: uncharacterized LOC102554269
Source: RNAcentral
ACCACUGAGCCAUCUUUCCAGCCCGACUUUAAGACUUUUAAGAUGGUGUCUACUGCUUAAAUUUUCAAAUGGCUCAACUUUAAACACACACACACACACACACACACACACACACACACACACACACACUUUAGACAAACUGAAUGUGAAUUUGAAUGAGUAAAGAAGGAUUUGUAAGUUGGGCAGUGGCCAGAACCAAAACCGUCCAGGGAACUCUGCCCCACAGGACCGGGCAGGAAAACAGUUACAGACAGCAAAAGAAGGCCAGGAACACUCCAUUGCCUGGAGCUUGGCAGUGCCCUGUGGGCAUGGCCUGAUCAGCCGAUAGCUCGUAACUGGCUGAAACUUAGCUGGUGUGGUUGGCUGAGACCAAUCUGUUUGUUACUAAAUAUACUCCAGAGUUUGACCUUCGAGGAUGUUUACCUGCUAAACUGGGUCGUUGCCCUUUGGGCAGGGCUUCAGCUAAUAGAAACAAACUCGGUGCAGGGGCAGUUUCGUUUAGUGAUUCUGAUUUACAGGUUGUUAAAUCAUGAUUCAGUCUAGGCUCAUUAGCCACCAGCCAAUGGGUCCUCCUUUCUUAUUACAUUUGCAUAAUUUGUUUGCUACACUUAAAAACGUUACAUAUUUAUUCACGAAACAUCGGGUUCAGAUGUGUGUUUUAAGCCACAAGAAGACAGCGUCGUCCCAUGCCUUAGAGCAGAACAUCCAGUCCUUUGCCUGCGUUGCUCAGGAUUGGCGGAGUAGCAGUGGUAAAUGGUGAAGCAGUCACAGAAGGUCCCCAAGCCCCAGCCUCGGAAGGUAGCUAGGUAAGAGCGCAUUGGUAUAUAAAACUGUUCACGGUAAGUUUACAGAGCUGGAUAGCUUCCAGCAAGACGAUAAUGCUGAUGGCAGUGCCAAGUGCCAUCAGGGUCAUCUCAAGACCCUGUGUGAGGCAGGGUGUCACCUGGCUGUGCAUCUUGGCCUAGCAUAGUCCUGGUUACAAACGUCUGCCUCCCUAGACAAGUAGCUGUGGACACUGUGCUUAUGUGUUUACAGAUUUCCCUGGUACUUCUCGUUAUGGAUACAAUCCAAACCACAUACUACUUAGCAAAUAUAAUUAAAUAAGGACCAGCUGCACCGCGUAACCACUGAAAAGUCACCACCAUUCUGAAAAGGAAGGGAUCUUUAGUUCUAAGUCAAAGCAGUUCUAGAGCAAGCAAGGAGAGCUGGGUAUUUAGUGAAUGUGUAAGAGGUACAUGCAGCCUUCAGUACAGGAAGUGAACCCUGUCACCGUGAGGUAACGUCCCUUUUCUCCAUUUCUCGGAGAAAUCCAGGCUUUCUCUGGAUCAGGCCUUCUCGUGCGUGGGCAACAGCCGUUACUUACGGGGCCGUAGGAUUGCAAGUGCCUUCCUCACACCAAAGGAGAGGACAUCUGCAGCCCAGCUCUUCCCGAGACCGGAGUUUGAGUCCCAGCACAAACAUGGUGGCUCGGAACCAUCUGUAAUUCCAGUUCCAGAGGGUCCGACACCCACUUCUUCAUGAGCAGCAAGCGUGUAGUCUGCACUGAGUUACAGGUAAGCAAAACACCCAUACGCAUACAUACAAUCUAAAGAGGGCUAGCCUUCAAAUAUUCUCCCACAAAAGGUAAGUAGGUGAGAUGGUGAUGGGCACAUUAAUUACCAUGAUCUAAUCAUUACGACAGGCCACCACACAGUUAAACAUCCUACCUCAUAUGAUGGUCCAGUGGUUACUCCCAGCUCUCCGUGAGCCUGUUACAGCAUCCACGGAAUCCUUUUCCUCCACACGACGUCUACAAAGCUGUUGGUAUACCAUUGUGCCCACCUAGGGUUCUUUUAAACGUGCGCAGCUGCUGCUGUUAGGGUUAGCUUUAUUAGUCUGCCAUCACUCACGGGUUUCAACAAAACCUGACAUCAAGCUGUCAGAGUUCUUAUUUUUACUUUUUUCCUGACACAGGGUCUUAUUCCAUAUCCCAGGAUAGCUUAGAACUCAUCACGUAGCUCAGGAGAACUAAGAGUAGUUCUCCUGCCUCUGCCUUAUGGGUCCUGGGAUCGUAAGCCAUGAGUACCACCCACUGACAUUUGUCUCAGUGAGGCACCUUUCUGAGACUCCUACAACAUCUGGAAACUCAUCCACAGGUUUCAUCCCAGUCCCUAUAGUAUUUUCCACUAUAGAUAACAUUCCGUUUGGCCUCCAACCAACAGAAGUGUUGUUCUCAGGUAAAUGCCAGUCAUCGGGCUGCCUCCCACUCCACCGCCCAACAUUGUUUCCAACGAAAUUGGAAAUAAGGGGUUUCAGGAGCCCGUGGUGGAAAUUCAGAUUCAGUAGGUGUUGCUGCUUCCCAACCAGGCUGACGUAAUGAGCGCUCUCCGAGAAUGCUGGCCGGCUCCUGCUCAUCAAUCCGUUCUUUCCUCAUUGCUGCAUGGAACUGAGAAUCCAUCACCAACUACAGAUGAAACGCCAAAGAGGAACCGUGGAAGAGGCGGACAGCGUUCCCGUUUGUUUCUAGCACGGUUUCUAUUCUCCCCAGCAUCUCCGAACUCCUAAUCGUUGCCGUCUGGGAUGUGAGUAGACUGAGUUUUCCCAGUGCCUUCCCAUCUACCUGUCCUUUUUGUUUGUUGUUGUUGUUGAAAAUUUUACUGAGACAAUUGCAGUUUUGCAAUGGCUUCUAAGAAGGGAUGUGGAAUGUU